This 430-nucleotide ribosomal RNA is filed under the name uncultured bacterium. RNAcentral describes it as "bacterial SSU rRNA". It matches the Rfam family "Bacterial small subunit ribosomal RNA", at positions 354 to 796 of the family's 1533-position model. The record is from RNAcentral.
GUGGGGAAUAUUGCACAAUGGGCGCAAGCCUGAUGCAGCAACGCCGCGUGAGGGACGACGGCCUUCGGGUUGUAAACCUCUUUUAGCAGGGAAGAAGCGAAAGUGACGGUACCUGCAGAAAAAGCACCGGCUAACUACGUGCCAGCAGCCGCGGUAAUACGUAGGGUGCAAGCGUUGUCCGGAAUUAUUGGGCGUAAAGAGCUCGUAGGCGGUUUGUCGCGUCUGCUGUGAAAACCCGAGGCUCAGCCUCGGGCCUGCAGUGGGUACGGGCAGACUAGAGUGCGGUAGGGGAGAUUGGAAUUCCUGGUGUAGCGGUGGAAUGCGCAGAUAUCAGGAGGAACACCGAUGGCGAAGGCAGAUCUCUGGGCCGUAACUGACGCUGAGGAGCGAAAGCGUGGGGAGCGAACAGGAUUAGAUACCCUAGUAGUCC